UACGUAGGGGGCUAGCGUUGUCCGGAAUCAUUGGGCGUAAAGAGCGUGUAGGCGGUCCGGUAAGUCCGCUGUGAAAGUCGGGGGCUCAACCCUCGAAUGCCGGUGGAUACUGUCGGGCUAGAGUGCGGAAGAGGCGAGUGGAAUUCCUGGUGUAGCGGUGAAAUGCGCAGAUAUCAGGAGGAACACCUAUUGCGAAGGCAGCUCGCUGGGACGUUACUGACGCUGAGACGCGAAAGCGUGGGGAGCGAACAGG
This 253-nucleotide ribosomal RNA is filed under the name uncultured bacterium. RNAcentral describes it as "partial 16S ribosomal RNA". It matches the Rfam family "Bacterial small subunit ribosomal RNA", at positions 524 to 776 of the family's 1533-position model. The record is from RNAcentral.